RNAcentral lists this long non-coding RNA (423 nucleotides) under Gossypium raimondii (Peruvian cotton). RNAcentral's name for it is "long non-coding RNA (GRAI_LNC001828)". Lineage: Eukaryota; Viridiplantae; Streptophyta; Magnoliopsida; Malvales; Malvaceae. The record is from RNAcentral.
UGUUGUGUCCCUAAAAUUGGGGGUGACCUUAGCUUCCGUGUCUUUGCAUUUUUUUCAGUCCCUACUAUGGGUUGGGACAAAAAAAAAAGAAAAAGAGAGAGUCUAUUUUCUAAACAAAUCGAACAUCAGGUAAACUUUUUCAACUCCAAUUCGACCAGAAUACCAUGCUGCCCUUUCUUUUCUUUUCCUCUCAAGUCCCGACUCCCCCAAAUCAGAUUUUUUGACUCUUGUUCCAAAUUUCUUUUGCAUUGCAGCUGAUACUUGUGUUUUCAUUUAUGCAGUUGUAGACAUUACUCUGUGCUUUGGAAAAGCCAGCCCAUCUAUUUUAUAAGCUACCUGCAUUGGUUUUAUGCUGAGAUUGCUGGCUAAAAACUUAAAUAUGAUGACUGAAUGGAUAGAAAACAGCAUAUAGCAAUUUUUACC